Molecule: long non-coding RNA, 4401 nt
Organism: Physeter macrocephalus (sperm whale)
Lineage: Eukaryota; Metazoa; Chordata; Mammalia; Artiodactyla; Physeteridae
Exons: 3
Source: RefSeq, a predicted model, not a curated record
UGCAGGAGGCGGUCAGAUCCCGCCUGGGGAGAGGCCGGUUCUAGCCUGGCAAGGCUGGGGGCAUGACUUGGGGUGAGGUUUGCCUAAAAAUAGAAACUUAACAGACGACAGCAGGCCCUGGCUGGCCUCCCAGUAAAGGGCUAGGAAGUCACCAGGGUCAGGCUGGAUCCCACAGAAGCAUCGCGGGCGCGUGGCUGCAAGGCGAGGGCCAUGAAGGCCCCGAGCACUCCAGGAUGCAUUAGAAGUUACCUCCUAGCAACUGAAGCAACAGAACGAGUGGAGAAGAUUAACAGCUAUGAUUGUAUACAACUAUUCAGAACUUCUUCACGGCAAACUGAUAAAACUAAAACCCAAGACCAGCGACCUAGGAAGAAUCACGGCAAGGAUACACUGGAAAGCGACCUCUUUGUCAUGUUAAUAAUACCUUAGCUGGGUAUUUUAUAUGGGGAAAGGACUCAGUCGAGGAAUUCAUGUGAAAAGUAAUUUAACCGGUAAAACACAAAGUGAACAAAGCGUGGCCUCAUCAGCAAUCGACGAAAGCAGGAUGGAGGGAUCAUGGGCUGCCAGCACUUCAUUUACCCAGGACACCAGGAAGGCUGCGGAAGAGCGACACCUGACACAGGUACAACUUGCAUCCAGUAAAAUCCGUGCUUUGGGGCAUGCAGUCGAUGAGAACUUAGAAACGCAUACAGUCCUGUAGCCAAUAUCAAUUGUGAGUAAAGCCGUGGUGAACAUUCAUGUCCAGGUUUUUGUGGGAACCUAAGUUUCUGUUUCUCCCGGGGAAAUGCCUGGGCAUGGGAUUUCUGGCUCCUAGGACAGGUGUAUGUUUAACUUUACAGGUUAAACAUUUUUAAACAGUUUCCAAAGUCACUGCGCUGUUUUGUAUUUUGAAAUAAUCACAGACUGACAGGCAGUUGCAAAAAUUGUACAGGGUGCCAUGCACCCUUUUCCCCGAUUCCCCCAAUGGUGACAUCUUACGUGACUGUGGGACAAUAUCAAACUGGGACACUGCUGCUGGCCCGAUGCUCACCGGGCUCAGGUUCUACCAGCCCUCCCACGACUCAUAUGUGUGCAGACGGGACGUUUGUCACCACUCACCCCUCCAGGAAGGUCUGGUCUAAACGUUGCCUGUCCCGGCCGCUAUCCCUGACUGAGAUCCAAGUUCCUUUCUCCUGCAUCCCUCACCCAGCCAGGACACCUGCCUGCAGACCUGCCCCCACGUCACCAUGACCACCCCCAUUGACAUCUGUGGCUGGAUCAUUCUCGGGGGCGCCGUCCUGAGCACUGUAGGGGUUUGAGCAGCAACCCCGGCCCCCACCCACUCAAUGUCAGGAGCUCCCCCAGUUGUGACAGCCACAGAUGUCCCCAGACUUCGCCCAGUGUCCCCAGGGGCCAGAAUCUAAGGCUUUUGUGGAACUCUCUUAUCAGAAGAAACCCAGCAGCUAAAAGAGGUUCAUUUAGGCAAAAUGCAAACAGUUUUUUGGAAUUGAAAUGGUCCAGUUUGAAGUGAAAUGGUACUGAAUGGAACAGAAGUUUGUUUCAAAGAGGGUUUAAAUUUCUCAGCAUCUGAGAAUUCCCUGGCGGUCCACUGGUUAGAACUCUGUGCUCUCACUACUGAGGGGGCGGGUUCAAUCCCUGGUCAAGGAACUAAGAUCCCACAAGCUGCUUGGCCUGGCCAGAAAAAAAAAAAAAAAGAAUUUCUUAGCAUCCAACAACCUCUGUGGCUGGGAGAAGUCACACGGGGCCAGAGUUUCAGAGUUUCCCUCAAACUCAACCAAGAACACAUUUGAAGGAGGAAAGAGCACAGCCCUGGGGGAAGAGAGGAGGAGGCAGAGCCCCUGUGGAAAGUGGCAGACCUGCAUUCUGCCCCAGCUCCCAAAGCUGUGUGGUUUUGGGAAAGUUACCUCCCCCCUCUGAGCUCCACUGAACUCUGCUCAAUGCUUAGAGUGACACUCCCUCUCGGCGCAGGGCGUGGCCAACAUCCAGGUCCCCAAGUUCCUAUGUUGGGGGAUGGAGGCCCCAGAGGCUGGCAGCCACGGAGAGGGCCCUCCUUCAGGAACCUGUGGCAACUGCCACAUAUAAACACAGCUGCAGGGGAGGAGGGACGAGAGACGAGGUGCCUGGACCUUCUCUGCACAGUGAGCGCGCACUAGCCGGUUUGCUGGAAGCUACUGAGAAAUCUCCCUGCCCUCAGACUUUGCUGGCACCACGGUGGCCACACCACUCAUCUGCCCAGGAGCCAGGUGGGGCAGGGCGUCACAAAGCCCACCUGGCCUGGGGGGAAGUGGGGCAGAGUCUGAAGUGGAUUGUAUUAAAACUAGGAGUGGAGGGACUUCCCUGGUGGAGUGGUGGUUAAGAAUCCGCCUGCCAAUGCAGGGGACACGGGUUCGAACACUGGCCCUGGAAGAUCCCACGUGCUGAGGAGCAACUAAGCCCGUGCGCCACAACUACUGAGCCUGUGCUCUAGAGCCCGCGAGCUACAACUACUGAGCCCACGUGCCACAACUACCGAGCCCGCAAGUCACAACUACUGAAGCCAGCAUGCCUAGAGCCCAUCCGUGCUCUUCAACAAGAGAAGCCACCGCAAUGAGAAAGCCGCACACCUCAACGAAGAAUAGCCCCCGCUCACCACAACUAGAGAAAGCCCAUGCACAGCAACAAAGACCCAACGCAGGCAAAAAUAAAUAAAUAAAUAAAUAAAUUUAAAAAAUAAAUAAAAGCUGAGCAUGGAUCUCCUUCUGUCGUUCUGUGGCUCUAAGACCAUGCUGAUCUAUUGAUACAUUCAUGGCCUCCUCCUCAGCAACCUGGAUUUUGUAUUAAAACCUCUAUCUGCAGAUUUCACUCCAAUGAUGGUGGGCCAGCUCAUGUGGAUGCUCUCCUGACGAGGGCAACUAGCAAAGCUUCAUGGAAUGGAGAAGCUUGAAGGCACUGGCGGGCUAUUAAGAUAGUGAAGAGUUCCAUCCAGCAUCUGGGGAGGAUGUAAACCCAGGAGUCUGGCUUUGGGGCCGCUUUUUAUUGGGGUGGAGGGUUUGCUAAGAGGCCAAGUAGCUAUUGCCCUCACAAGGCUAGGGGCUCAGAGAUUGAGAUCCAGGGCCUCCUAAGGGGAGAGAGAUUGGGGAAUUCCCCCUUGGUAUGAGCUGGGACAAAAGAGUCCUGCCUUCUAAGAAAAGGGUCCACAGGAAGCAGACAGGCCCUCACAGUGACUGUAGCUGAGUUCUGAAUAACCUCAGUCCCUGAUACUGGAUUGAGGUGAACUUAGAUUGUAGCAGCCCUAGAUGCUGGACAGAAGUAAAAACGAAUCCUUUCUGGUGGAAAACAACAUCAUCUUAGGCUUCGAAUUAUUUCUACAAACAAGUCAGCAGUUACAAUAUCUAGCACACAAUCAGAAUUGACCAGGCAUAGAAGACAGGACCACACGAACAAAAAUCAGCAGAAAUAACAGACUAUACAAACAGGCUCCCAGGGGUUUGAUACACUGGAAUUGACAGACUUAAAAAUAACUAUAUUAAUUAUGUUAAAUAUGUGAGGUUGGAAUUUUAGCAGCGAAUUGGAAACUAAAGAAAAAGACUGAAUGGAUGUGUGGAAACUGACAAUAUCUGAAAUGAACACAAUGGAAGAAGCAGUAUCAUUAAAGAUAACUAAAGAGAAAAUUAGUGAACUAGAAGAUAGGAAAUAUCCAGAAUGAAGCAUGGACCACAUGAGACAAGGUAUAAGACACAGAGGAUGCAGUAAGUUCUGACACACAUGUAAUUGGAGCUCUGGAAGGAGGAGACAGAGAAAGGGGAAGAAGCAAUCUUGGAAGAGAUAGUGAUGGAUGAUUUCCCAAAACUGAUUAAAAAAAGAAAAAGGACUCUAAGCCACAGAUUCAAGAAGCCCUAGAACCUCAGGCAGGAAAAACAUUUUAGAAAUUGACAGAGAAAUGACCAAUGAGCACCUGAAAAGGUGCUCAAUGAUUAGUCACCAGGGCAAGUAUAAAUGAAAACCAUCGUGGGAGGCUGCUUCACAGCCCUCCUGUGUCAGGUCUUAGUUGUGGCACACGGGCUCUUUAGUUAUGGCGCUUGGGCUUAGUUGCCUCGUGGCACGUGGGAUCUUAGUUCCACAACCAGGGAUCAAACCUGCGUCCCCUGCAUUGGAUUCUCAACCGCUGGGCCACCAAGGAAGUCUCAUUUUUACUCUAAUUCUUUUUUUUUUUUUUUUUUUUUGUGGUACACGGGCCUCUCACUGUUGUGGCCUCUCCCGUUGCGGAGCACAGGCUCCAGAUGCGCGGGCUCAGCGGCCAAGGCUCACGGGCCCAGCCGCUCUGCGGCACUUGGGAUCCUCCCAGACUGGGGCACGAACCUGUGUCUGCUGCAUUGGCAGGCGGACUCUCAACCACUGUGCCACCAGGGAAGACCUACUCUA